GAUGAAGAACGUAGCGAAAUGCGAUAAGUAAUGUGAAUUGCAGAAUUCAGUGAAUCAUCGAAUCUUUGAACGCACAUUGCGCCCGCCAGUAUUCUGGCGGGCAUGCCUGUCUGAGCGUCAUUUCAACCCUCAUGCCCCUAGGGCGUGGUGUUGGGGAUCGGCCAAAGCCCGCGAGGGACGGCCGGCCCCUAAAUCUAGUGGCGGACCCGUCGUGGCCUCCUCUGCGAAGUAGUGAUAUUCCGCAUCGGAGAGCGAUGAGCCCCUGCCGUUAAACCCCCAACUUCCCAAGGUUGACCUCAGAUCAGGUAGGAAUACCCGCUGAACUUAAGCAUAUCAAUAAGCGGAGGA
This 348-nucleotide unclassified non-coding RNA is filed under the name soil metagenome. RNAcentral's name for it is "partial contains 5.8S ribosomal RNA, internal transcribed spacer 2, and large subunit ribosomal RNA". The stretch from base 1 to 120 matches the Rfam family "5.8S ribosomal RNA", at positions 35 to 154 of the family's 154-position model. The record is from RNAcentral.